UCUCCUACGGGGGGCAGCAGUGGGGAAUAUUGCACAAUGGGGGGAACCCUGAUGCAGCGACGCCGCGUGAAGGAAGAAGUAUCUCGGUAUGUAAACUUCUAUCAGCAGGGAAGAAAGAGGAUGGUACCUGACUAAGAAGCCCCGGCUAACUACGUGCCAGCAGCCGCGGUAAUACGUAGGGGGCAAGCGUUAUCCGGAAUUACUGGGUGUAAAGGGAGCGUAGACGGCUGUGCAAGUCUGGAGUGAAAGGCGGGGGCCCAA
Molecule: ribosomal RNA, 261 nt
Filed under: uncultured bacterium
Lineage: Bacteria
Description: partial 16S ribosomal RNA
Rfam family: Bacterial small subunit ribosomal RNA
Source: RNAcentral